This 1497-nucleotide long non-coding RNA is filed under the name Heterocephalus glaber (naked mole-rat). RNAcentral describes it as "lncRNA (ENSHGLG00000030576.2)". The record is from RNAcentral. Lineage: Eukaryota; Metazoa; Chordata; Mammalia; Rodentia; Bathyergidae.
UUACUGCUUACGUUAAAAAGACACUGCACCAGGAGGUUUCCCACACCUACCCCAGCCUGGUUCUGAGCCCCAGACCUCGUUCGGCCUUUCUCCGACAGCCAAUUUCCUGAGUUAGUUCUGCCGUUUCUCUCCUCCACAUCCAGGCUCCGAAAGCCUCCCUCGCCUCAGCCUCCAUGAACCGGGGUCCGCUCCCCUCGCUGGGCGCCUGGCCCGCACGGCGGCGCCGCUGCUCUCGGUGGGGACGACGCGCGCGGCUCCGCCAAGCCUGGUGGCGCCGGCUCAGGUGGGCUUCUUCUCGCCGCUCCGGCCCGGCCGCCCGGCCCCGCGCCCUCGGCCUCCGCGGCCCGGACGCAGCGCGGCUGCUGGAGGCGGGUCCGCCGGCGUCGCGGCCGCGCUCCCGCUUCCGGGCCCCUUCCCCCCGUCGCUGGCUGGCGCUGGCGCAGGCUCGGCCGGCCGCCCCCUCCCCGCUGCUCCGCGCCCGCCGCCGUCCGCUCCCUCCCCGCUGGCGGGCGGGGCCGCGCUCCUCCCCGGCUCCGCCCUCGCUCCGCCUCCCGCCUCGGCCGCCCCGCCCCUCCGCCCUCCGCGGCCGAGCGGCCUAGCUGGUCCGGCGCGCGGGUCUCCCCGCGAGGCCCGACCUUUGUUCCCGACCUGCCCGGCCGCGCCGUCCCGGGUGCGUCCCGCGUGCCUGCCCCGCCUCUCUCCUCACAUUUUCCGGUCGCCGUGGCCCCUUUUCGGAGCCGGGAGUGCGGAGGCGGUUUCCUCGCGUGUCUGUGGCUGGGGGCCGCCCCUCGCGCCCCCCGGGUUCGGCGCGCACCUACUCUGCGGCUCGGCCGCCGCGCCUGAGUUCGGCGAAAGCCUUUCCAGGGCGGCGGUGUUUGCUUAGGGUCUCCCGCACCACCUGGAUUGCCCGGAGAGCGAUGUAUGAGCUUGCAAAUUUACACACAGACACACACACACAGUAGUGGGGAUCGAACUUGGGUCCUUGUGCUUGAGCAGCAGCAGCAGCACCAGAAAAAGAAGAAGAAGAGGAGGAGGAGGAGGAGGAGCAAGAAGAAGAAGAGGAGGAGAAGAAGAAGAGGAAGAAGAAAGAAGAGGAGGAGGAAGCAGAAGAAGCAACUUUUCAAUUGUGGGCAGAAAUCCCAAGACCAAACUGGUUGUUUCUUCUAGAAAGAUGACUCUUUAAGUUAUUAUCAUUCUCCUUCCAGGGUGCUGUUCAGGGACAGGCCUGGCAAAAUAAAACUGCUACUGGAGAGAUUGUGCCUCUGUUUACUAGGGGUCAUUUUGGUUUGGUGGGGGUUUUUUGGCACUGGAGAUGGGACUUGGGACCCUGUGCUCGCGAGGCAGGCAGCGGAACCACUGAGCUAAAUCCCUGGCCCUGGUUGUUUUGUUUUUGAAACAGAGUCUGGCUGAGUUAUCCAGGCUAGCUUGGAGCUCUCUACACUCCUUUCUCAGCCUCCUGAGUAGCUGGGGUUACUGGCACAUAACACUAUACCUGGC